Molecule: long non-coding RNA, 1110 nt
Organism: Habropoda laboriosa
Lineage: Eukaryota; Metazoa; Arthropoda; Insecta; Hymenoptera; Apidae
Exons: 2
Source: RefSeq, a predicted model, not a curated record
GGAGGACGCAGGCUAUAUUCGUUUCAUGUUCAGUAAUGGAAAAUCAUUCUACAAUUUCAGUCAUUUGAAGUAAGCGCAACUAUAUUGUUAUCGAUAAGCAUGAUACAAUGUAAGCUUGCAUUUCAUUUGGCUGUUAAAGGAGAAUUCCAAGAUACUUGUUUAACGGUGGAAGAGAAAGAGAGGGGAUCUGUACGAAGGGACGAAGAGAAGAGCAGAGAUUGUACAUAGAUCGUUUUAAAUUACCAUUAUAGUUUUACUUUUUAUGUUUUAUACUCUCACGGUAUAUGUAGUUAUUAUAUUUUCAAAUUAAAUUUGUCCUUGGUCUUUCCGUAAUUCAGCAAAUGUGUAGGAAGUAUAUACGGAGAAAUGUAGGUGGGGUGUGAAGGAAUUUUCGGACUUCCACAGAGGGAAAAAAAGAAAGGAAAAAAUCGAGUUUGGAGGAUGUACACAUGGUUCAAGUUAUUUUAAUAUACGAUCAAAUUGAAGCAUGAUGGUGAUGAGCAUGGUACCCGUAAAUUCUAAAAUACGUGUUAUACCGAAUUACCAAAUUAUAGGACUUCACUCGGAUGUUUAAACACAUGUUUGUUUUGGGUAUUUUUCGGCGGUCUCUCUGAUUUUUGCUUCAGGAAACUCAAGAAAAUUCAUUCCUGAGGUAUGAAUUUUUUAAUGAAACGACGCUGUUCUAUGGGCAAGCCUGUGCUGUGAAGUGCAUCUAACGGUCAUGUAUGUAUUGCUUAAAUGUCAUUACAUGUAUCGCGCAUUAUUUAGAAAAAAGAAGUUGCACAUGUUAGUAAAAUUCCUUCGAAAAACCUUCUAUACAAUUUGAUAACGAUUGCAUUUGCAAGAAAAGUUUUACCUGAUUUGAAAUGGGAAUACGUAAUAAAUCAUGACAAAUUGUUAAUUCGAUCUUGCUAGAAAAGCAUAACACAUUGACGAGAGAGAAAGAGAGAGAGAACACGAAGACCACCGUCAUAUCAGAUUCGUUGUCCACGUAAAAUUCUCCGUCUUGUCGAUUGAUCUAAGUAUGUUUAAGAAAAGAAAACCCGACUUGUGACGAGUGCUUUGUGCAAAAUUAUUUGAAACAAAUAUAAGUACGGUAAUAGAUUUGAA